RNAcentral lists this transfer RNA (74 nucleotides) under Undibacterium sp. Its description in RNAcentral is "tRNA-Lys". It matches the Rfam family "tRNA". From Rfam's summary of the family: Transfer RNA (tRNA) molecules are approximately 80 nucleotides in length. Their secondary structure includes four short double-helical elements and three loops (D, anti-codon, and T loops). Further hydrogen bonds mediate the characteristic L-shaped molecular structure. tRNAs have two regions of fundamental functional importance: the anti-codon, which is responsible for specific mRNA codon recognition, and the 3' end, to which the tRNAs corresponding amino acid is attached (by aminoacyl-tRNA synthetases). tRNAs cope with the degeneracy of the genetic code in two manners: having more than one tRNA (with a specific anti-codon) for a particular amino acid; and 'wobble' base-pairing, i.e. permitting non-standard base-pairing at the 3rd anti-codon position. Lineage: Bacteria; Pseudomonadati; Pseudomonadota; Betaproteobacteria; Burkholderiales; Oxalobacteraceae. RNAcentral also lists the same sequence under 4 other names. The record is from RNAcentral.
CGGGAUGUAGCUCAAAGGUAGAGCAUUCGGCUUUUAACCGAACGGCGAGAGUUCGAUUCUCUCUAUCCCGACCA